Molecule: RNA transcript, 3993 nt
Organism: Triticum aestivum (bread wheat)
Lineage: Eukaryota; Viridiplantae; Streptophyta; Magnoliopsida; Poales; Poaceae
Gene name: probable RNA-dependent RNA polymerase 3
Exons: 19
Source: RefSeq, a predicted model, not a curated record
CUUCUCCUCGAAGCCUUGAAGCCGUAUACUCCUCCUCUGCUCUGGCGCCCCUGUUCCCAAACUCUUUCCUGUCAUCGUCCAAGAAAGCUUCGGCAGAGAGUGGAGAGGAGAGGGAAGAGCACGCCCCGCCGCCGUCUCCCUUUGGCUCCUCCGCCUCACGCGAGCGGAGGACCUAAACACUAAACCCUAAUGAGCACCCCCGGCCCGGCCUCCCCGGCGCAAAUGCGCGCUCCGCCGGCCCCGCCGCUCCCGGCCGCGGUGGGCUGGGAGCUGCAGCAGAUCGAGGCGCGGCUGGAUCAGCACGCCGACCCGCGCGCGCGGCAGAUGCUCGCGGACAUCGGCGAGGCGGCCGCGCUGCGGGUGCUGCGGCUGAUAGGGGAGUCGCGGAAGCCCGUCCGGAACUUCUCCGGCUAUAUCAUGUGGGCGGCGAGGAACGCGCCGGACGCCCCUAGCGCCGAGAGCGCCAUCUACGCCUCCGGCCCCUCCAGCGGAGAUGACUCUGUACUGGGACCAAUGCACGAUGAUGAUGUUCAAAUGGACGAUAACGCUCCAGGCAGUGAAUUGGCUUUCAAUCUCUCAAACCAUGCCAUGAUCGAGGUCGAAAGCCCUGCCCGUCAGACGCCUCACGGUUUACAUAGCAACAGCAACGGGAGCCCUGUUCGGGCAGUUGCUUGCUUGUUGCCGAACCCAGUUGCAAUGGAGGUUGAUAAACCUGAUUGCAAUGUCCCAGAAAUGUUACCCGUGAUGCCAAACCAAGGAGGAAUGGAAGAGUUUGUCGAGCAUCCGUCUUUCAGGAUGCAAGACCAGGUACAACCGUUGCAGGUUGGUAGUCCUACCCCGCCAUUGGCCCAUGGGGUGCCAGACCAGGCUAUGGUGCAAGUUGGGAGCCCUGGCCUCGGCAUGGUGUUUGAUAGCCCGGUCCGGCAGAUCAUUCCUACGUCUCCAAGGAUGGUUUCCACCCCAAGUCCAGUGCGCGAGAUCACAAGGCGUGUGCAUCAGAUGGGGUGCCCAUCAGGAACUGUGGGGGUCCAAGCAUCACCAACCAUGGAGUGCAUGAUGCCAGCAGACCCUCUUGUUACUGCAAACGCAUCAAGGGCAACCGCGAGCCGUCAGUUGUUAGCGUUGGGAGAGCUAGAGUUUGUUCAGAUUUUCAUGAUAUAUGUCUAUCUUGCAGGGAAGAAGAUAGAAGACGUGGGUGUACUACAUGAGGACUAUAUUAGGUCCUUGAAUUCACUGCCCAUGGAUCGUUUUGAGUUGGAAAUAUGGAACAAAUUUGGUCACGAGUUUCUAGCAGAGUGUGACAGGAGACAGAAUCUUGAUUGGGACCCAAGCAAGACAAGAGUGUACCAUUGCCAUAUCGAGCAAAGAGGCGAUUCUGUAGUUACGGUUUUCAAGGGGCCAUAUAUAGAGAACACAAGGACUAGUCUACAGAAAGUUGUUGGGGACGACAAUGUUCUUGUUGUGAACUUUUCAGAUAUAUCUGGGCACACCAAUGCUGGUGAUAACUUCGAAACCGGCUGUCACUUUUACCAUCACGUUUUUGAAGAUGGCAUCAUCUUGGGUUUGCGUCGCUAUCGCUUUUUGAUUUACAAAGAUGGAGGGAGGGAAAGGAGAAUAAAAGCGGAAAAAAAGAAAGAGAGAAACAAGAAAUGCACUUCUACUGUUAGGUGCUACUUUGUUCGCACCGAGUGUGACUGGGACAAGGGUGUGCCUUAUAUCCUCUCCAAGAGAACAAUUGGUGAUGCCCGCAAGCUUUUUAUGCACGUACACACUGUCCCCAGUGUGGCAAAAUAUGUGGCCAGGUUUGGUUUGGUAUUGUCCAAAACUAUUACACUACUCGAUGGUGAAGCCCUAUCAAAAAUUGACGUUGUAAUUGUUGAUGAUGUACCUUGCAAGGAUAAAAACGGAAGCAUUGUUCUCAAGCAUAGGGAGGCUUUGAUCCACACUGACGGGACUGGCCUAAUAUCAGAAGAUUUAGCUAAGAAAUGCCCUACAGAUGUAUUUAAGGGGAACCUUUUGAGGAUACAUGACGAUAGUGUGGAUUCAAAGGAGGAUCAAUUUGACAUCGAUGAUCAUCCUCUUCUUAUGCAGGUCCGUAUGUUCUAUAAUGGACUUGCUGUAAAGGGAACCCUUCUUGUUGUUAGAAAGCUUCCUGAGAGGACUAUCCAUAUACGACCAUCAAUGAUAAAAGUAAACUCAGAUCCUAGUUUAUCAGGUGGGCACUCCUUCAACUCACUGGAAAUUGUUUCAACGAGCAACCGACCCAAAAGGGCAUUGACUUCAAGGUUUUUAAUCACGCUGCUUCAAUAUGGAGGGGUUCCAGCGGAUUAUUUUAUGGAGCUUCUAGGGAAGGCACUAAAAGAUGUUGAGAAAGCUCGCCAUAAAACUAGAGAUUCCCUUGAAGUUGCAUUUAACCACGGUGACAUGGAUGAUUUAAUGUCUGCACGGAUGAUCCUUUCUGGAAUUCGACCAGAAGAUGAGGCAUACUUACAGCACCAGCUUACGACAAUGACCAAAGAGGAAAGAGAAGGAUUCAAACAAGGUAGGCUCCCUGUCGAUCAGUGUUAUUAUCUGAUGGGCACAACAGAUCCUACAGGGACACUAAAGCCCCAUGAAGUCUGUGUGAUAUUGGACCAUGGCCCCAUUUCUGGAGAGGUUCUUGUCUAUAGACAUCCUGGGCUGCAUUUUGGUGAUAUACAUGUCUUGACAGCCACAUAUAGUGAGGCUAUACAGGAUUUCGUGGGAGACUCCAAAUAUGCUAUUCUUUUUCCUGUUUCUGGACCACGAUCUCUAGCUGAUGAGAUGGCAGGUGGUGAUUUUGAUGGUGACAUGUACUGGGUCUCGAGAAACCCACAGUUACUGAAGUACUUCAAACCAUCGGAACCAUGGGAUCCAAGAAACCCUCCAAGGAAGGCUAAACAAGAGAAGCCUCAGGAUUAUGAUGAAUCCAAGCUGGAACACAUUUUAUUCCGUGAAUUUUUUAGAAUUAGGUUUACACCAAGUUAUGUGCUGGGUGCAGCUGCAGAUUGUUGGCUGGUAUAUAUGGAUCGGCUACUGACAUGUGAAGUUCAAGAAGACAAAAAAGAAUGGGAGUCGAUAAAGGCUAAGAUGCUUGAAUUGGUUGACAUUUACUAUGAGGCUCUGGAUGCCCCGAAAAGUGGGAACAAGAUCACUAUGCCUCGUCAUCUGAGGGUUGAAGUAUAUCCACACUUUAUGGAAGGGAAAGGGUUUACACCUCCCUACACUUCCACAUCAGUGCUGGGCAAAAUCUAUGAUUUAGCAAAGUCGCAUCAGCCUGAAGCAGCUCACCCAAUCAUUCGCGUCUCCAUUCUGUUCUUCAGAUAUAACUCCGCUGACAUGCUUCACCGAGGAAGUAGUAGCCGAAGAACGCAACAUGUGGGGUCCCCGUUACAACGAGUAUCGGACAGCGAGCACGUUGCUAUUGGACCGUAAUCGCCCAAUCUCUAAAGAAGAGAAGAAGGCGAGGUUCCGGGAGCUGGACCAAAAAUACAAGCAGAUGCUGUACGACGCGGCGGAGCUGGAGGAGAGCCACAAGCACCCGUUCGCCGUUUACAGGGAGGCCUGCGCGAUCUACCAGCUGGUGUACGAGCACGCGGUGCGGUGCCGGUGCGACGACGAAGGAAGGCGUGUCGAAAGGUGCGGCUUCGCGUGGAGGGUCGCCGGCCGCGCGCUGUGCGAUUUCUACCUGAUCAAGCGCCGCGGCGACAGGGUGGUCGCCGACAUGCAGGUCCUCCGCGACGCCUUCAGGAAGGACCUCGGUGCGUAGCAUAGCAUGCAUGCAGCCAUAUAGCGCUAUAGGCAGAGUAUAUAUAUAGCUUUAAGUAGAUAUCUGAUUAUCUAUGUAUGUACAGUACGUAGUAGUAGCAGCAGUGUCAUUGUGGUGUACGCGUACAGACCUGUGUAGUACAAGUUUGAAUUGCUGGUGCAUGUGUAUUUAUGUGUACAUGCAUGUAAUUAAAGACCUUCUCUAUA